CAGUAGCCGCGGGAAUACGAAGGGGGCUAGUGUUGUUCGGAUUUACUGGGCGUAAAGCGCACGUAGGCGGACUUUUAAGUCAGGGGUGAAAUCCCGGGGCUCAACCCCGGAACUGCCUUUGAUACUGGAAGUCUUGAGUAUGGUAGAGGUGAGUGGAAUUCCGAGUGUAGAGGUGAAAUUCGUAGAUAUUCGGAGGAACACCAGUGGCGAAGGCGGCUCACUGGACCAUUACUGACGCUGAGGUGCGAAAGCGUGGGGAGCAAACAGGAUUAGAUACCCGCGUAGUCCCUGUCUCUUAUAC
This 301-nucleotide ribosomal RNA is filed under the name uncultured bacterium. RNAcentral describes it as "partial 16S ribosomal RNA". It matches the Rfam family "Bacterial small subunit ribosomal RNA", at positions 509 to 807 of the family's 1533-position model. The record is from RNAcentral.